Syngnathoides biaculeatus (alligator pipefish) is the source of this 2396-nucleotide long non-coding RNA. RefSeq lists it as uncharacterized. The transcript has 4 exons. The record is from RefSeq and is a predicted model, not a curated record. Lineage: Eukaryota; Metazoa; Chordata; Actinopteri; Syngnathiformes; Syngnathidae.
GGUUACUCCUGAACACUGCCCCAGGGCCACUUAUAAGAGGGUGUGCAGACUUUUUACAUCCACACUAUUUCAGUGGUCAAGAAGUGAUCAGUCAGUAGGAGCAUCUUACUUCCGUCCUUACUAUCCGAGGCAUCAGCAACGUCAACAGCUGCUGCUUCUCCCGCUGACGGUGGUGGAAAUUUUUUUUUCCGUUAAUCGCCCUGAUGACGUGGACGGACCACAACGCAUCACACCCAGAUCACUGACCUUUUCUGAACAUGGACAGAAGAGUAGGACUCUUGUGGCUGGCUUUGAUCAUUGUGGUUUCUCACUGCUGUCACGGUCCUGCAGCACCUCUCGGGAAUAUGUAUGCAUCCGCUCGCCACUGGGCAGUCGGGCAUUUGAUGGGAAAGAAGAGAGUUGAAAGGCAGCUGGUGUUUUAUAGAGGAAAACCCAAAGAACUCUUCGAGGAAGCUCAGACCCAAAAUGCGAUCCUUCAAUCAGCAAUCAGAAAAUGCUCCUUGAGAGAUGGCAGACCUGCAUAUUCUCGCCAUAGAUGUGCAGGAGCGAAGGCUACGCGCUCAACAAUGCUCAAGUAUUUAAACAUCCACGCACACGCUUGAAACUAGUAGACAGUCGUGGCAAACUUUUUGGAAGUGACUAAAAUGUUUUGUUUUCCCCUGUACCUCUGCUUUCAUGUGUUACUUUUGAUAAAUACCUGUUGUUGUUGUUGUUUCUUCACAUGCACACAUUAUACCUUUCUGUACGUUGUGUGAAAGAUAGAUUAGAGAGAAUCAUAAUCGGUUAUACAUUUUAAACACUUUCUUCCAUGUUAUGUAGUCCGUACUGUACACAGAAAAUCGUUCACUGUUUAAGGUAAUUUGACUUUUACCCAGCAGAGGACGCUCAAACACCCUUUUAAAGGUUUUGAUUGCUUGACGCUGAAAAUCAAGCACAUUUCUCGAACUGUUGCGCUAUUUAUGAUCACGGCAGACCGAAAUAAACAAAAGUAAUCAAAUUUGAAGUGCCUAUAACAGCUGAGUAAUGUCCUUUGAACGCCACAAUUUUUUGACAGCUCCUAAAGUGGUUCUCGUCAGACUUUAGUGUACCUAGUAUUGUAGUCCAUGACAUGACGCAGGGUAAAAGUGAUUUAUUACACAGUUUUUUUUUUCAAUAAUCACAUUUUAGGAGGAUCCAAGUUAACCUUGCAAUAAUAAUCAAUGGAGUAUAAAAGCAAAUUAGAGCAAGGAAAUGUUGGGAAAAAAAUCCAGAAUUUCUCUUGUGUCACUCUCAGCAUUUAAAAAAAAACCCCAGUAGGAUGCUUUGACAGAGAGAGUUUUGGGGUCCCUCUGGAUUUGCAGACAAUAGUGAGCGCUAAUUGCAACAAGUUGGUUGCACACGUCUUCCCUCUUAAUACCAAAAUGAAAAGUUUCCUCUUCAGUCCUCAUCCCUCAUUUGUUUCACGGCUGAUUAGUGAACAAAAGGGACAACAAGCCACUUUCACCCCAGUGAUUAAGUUUCUAAUCUCACCGGCCGAUGGGAUAACGUUUACCGGAGUUAAUGAGGAGGAAACAAAUCGUUCUCUGAGGGGUCUGGAGGACGUCAGCCAGGUUAAGGAGCUUUCUGUGGAAGAAAGACCCUCAGUGUUUAUUUUGUGUUAGUGGGGGGAAAAAAUAAAGCUCGCUUGAAAUCAGAAUCUUAGCGUUAGUGUCUUCAAAAUGAACAUAGUGGAACGUAAAAAAUGAAAAUGGGAAAUUCACGUUCAAAGAGAAGAAUAUACGUUUUGUUAAGUAAUAUUUGAAGUAGUUAUGCUCCAGAGCCGCCAUAAACGUUGUUACUUGUAGUCGAAAUGUAAGUCACUACAGACAGUGGAUGAUGGCUGUGAACUCAGUUUGGCAGAUCGUGAGUAAUUUGUCAAAAGUUGAUGUUUAUGGUCAAAGUCUACAUCAAACAAAGAUAACACUUUGUGUAGUGAAAACCACUGCACCACUUCAAAUCAGCUGUCUUAAAGCCAACACAUGAUGGGAAAUGCUAUGGAAGCUCCAAUGAAUAGCAUCAGUUUUGCAAUGUUACAAACGUUUAAACAAUGUAUAGUGGAAUAUAAAUGGCAGAACAACACAUGCAGACAGAUAUUGUACUCUGCAAAGAACGAUUAAUAUUAUGGUGGGAACUGAGGAGCAUAGAAGUCACUAAGUACAUCCGUAUGUCUGUACUUUACUGCUUACAGACGGUCGAGAUGCACACAGCAGAAGGAGCGGCACAAUGUCUAACGAAUUGAAACAAAAAAUGUGGCAAUUACGUCAGUAAUGCCCAUUAUUUUUUUAAGUACAAAGUUGUAUAGUCCCAUUCAUCCAUCCAUCCAUUCAUCCAUUUUCUUAGCCACUUAUCCUCACGAGGGUCGCAGGGAGUGCUGGAGC